This 425-nucleotide ribosomal RNA is filed under the name uncultured bacterium. Its description in RNAcentral is "partial 16S ribosomal RNA". It matches the Rfam family "Bacterial small subunit ribosomal RNA", at positions 354 to 796 of the family's 1533-position model. The record is from RNAcentral.
GUGGGGAAUAUUGGACAAUGGGCGCAAGCCUGAUCCAGCCAUGCCGCGUGAGUGAUGAAGGCCUUAGGGUUGUAAAGCUCUUUCAGUGGGGACGAUAAUGACGGUACCCACAGAAGAAGCCCCGGCUAACUUCGUGCCAGCAGCCGCAGUAAUACGAAGGGGGCUAGCGUUGUUCGGAUUUACUGGGCGUAAAGCGCACGUAGGCGGAUCGUUAAGUCGGGGGUGAAAUCCUGGAGCUCAACUCCAGAACUGCCUUCGAUACUGGCGAUCUUGAGUCCGGAAGAGGUGAGUGGAACUCCUAGUGUAGAGGUGGAAUUCGUAGAUAUUAGGAGGAACACCAGUGGCGAAGGCGGCUCACUGGCUCGAUACUGACGCUGAGGUGCGAAAGCGUGGGGAGCAAACAGGAUUAGAUACCCGAGUAGUCC